CCCCCCCCCCCCCCCCCCCCCCCCCCCCCCCCCCCCCCCCCCCCC
This 45-nucleotide unclassified non-coding RNA is filed under the name synthetic construct. Its description in RNAcentral is "RNA (45-MER) from synthetic construct (PDB 3PU0, chain R)". The record is from RNAcentral.